RNAcentral lists this ribosomal RNA (569 nucleotides) under uncultured Pseudomonadota bacterium. RNAcentral's name for it is "bacterial SSU rRNA". It matches the Rfam family "Bacterial small subunit ribosomal RNA", at positions 329 to 915 of the family's 1533-position model. Lineage: Bacteria; Pseudomonadati; Pseudomonadota. The record is from RNAcentral.
CAGGUCACUCCUACGGGAGGCAGCAGUGGGGAAUAUUGGACAAUGGGCGAAAGCUUGAUCCAGCUAGGUCGCAUGAGUGACGAAGAUAGAAAUUGUAAAACUCUUUUGUUUAAGAAGAUAAUGACUUAAUUUAAGAAUUAGCCCUGACUAACCUCGUGCCAGCAGUCGCGGUAAUACGGGGAGGGCGAGCGUUAUUCAGCGUGAUUGGGCGUAAAGGGCAUAUAGGCGGUUUAAUAAGUUCUUUUUGAAAUCUUACAGCUCAACUGUAAAAUUAUUUUGAAUACUGUUGAACUAGAGUAUAGCAGAAGAUAGCGAUACUUUUAAUGUAAAGGUAAAAUUUUUAGAUAUUAAAAGGGUCAUCAACAGGCGAAGGCGGUUAUCUAGGUUAUAACUGACGCUUACGUGCAAAAGCAUGGGUAGCAAACGGGAUUAGACACCCCGGUAGUCCAUGCCGUGACCGAUGAGUAUUGAAUGUUGGAAAAAGUUUAUUUUUUCAGUGUUUAAGCUAACGCGUUAAAUACUCCGCCUGGGGAAUACGAUCGCAAGAUUAAAACUCAAAGGAAUUGACG